Coniosporium tulheliwenetii is the source of this 98-nucleotide non-coding RNA. The record is from the annotation of a GenBank genome assembly. Lineage: Eukaryota; Fungi; Ascomycota; Dothideomycetes.
UCUUCGAUGGUCUAGUGGUGAUGAUUUCCGCUUGUCAUCAGCGUCACAAGCGCAAUGCCAAGCCGCGGGAGACCGGGGUUCGAUUCCCCGUCGGAGAG